UGGGGGGUCAGCAGGGGGCGGAGGGCCACCCUCAGCUUCUCUUUAUAAGCUCACCCUGCCUUUGGGUGAGGAUGGAUCCGAGGGGGGCGAGGCUGGAGGGGGUCGGCAGGCGAGGAGGCGAGGAGAACCCAAUCCCUGGCGCCCGCUGGCUGCCUUUGGCACAGGGCCAGGAGGGGGCCAGGGGGUCCUCGUGUCUCCCGGAAGGCACCGAGGCCAGGAGAAGGCAGGGGUCCUCGGGAGACGCGAGCCAAGGGGCAGCGGGAGGACAAAGGCCGCUCCCGAGCCGGCCGCUCCCACCAUCCUAGAGCUGGACCCCAGCACCCCGUCCUCCAGCGUCCGCCUGCCUCCCAGGUCUGCGCGUCCCGGCUACCUCCGCCUAAUGAAAGUGUUACUCCACAAAGCCGCAAGGCCGGCGCGUGCUCUUCCCUCGUUUCCCCUCUGAGCACGAGGCCUAGGGCUUGUGGACGGGAGCCUCGGGGCAGCCUCCUCUGCAGCAGGACCCGGCUUUCCAGCUUCGGAAACCCGAGACGAGGAAAGCGGAAGAAGACAGGAGAGCCAGCCAGAAGACGGGGAGGGGCUGGCCCCGCGCUCUGCUCGGGCUCUGAAGCAGCACUCGCCCCGAGAAAGAUCCCUGAACACCCACGGCUUGAUUCCGCGUCCAAUGUCACAACUCGGCAGACAGCCCCUGCGGCUGGCCGUGCCCGGCGUGGCGGGGGGGCGCGGGGGCAGAAGAGGCCCUCGGGGCUUGCCCU
This 752-nucleotide long non-coding RNA is filed under the name Dasypus novemcinctus (nine-banded armadillo). RNAcentral describes it as "lncRNA (ENSDNOG00000051097.1)". The record is from RNAcentral. Lineage: Eukaryota; Metazoa; Chordata; Mammalia; Cingulata; Dasypodidae.